GACGAACGCUGGCGGCGUGCUUAACACAUGCAAGUCGAACGGAAAGGCCCUGCUUUUGUGGGGUGCUCGAGUGGCGAACGGGUGAGUAACACGUGAGUAACCUGCCCUUGACUUUGGGAUAACUUCAGGAAACUGGGGCUAAUACCGGAUAGGAGCUCCUGCUGCAUGGUGGGGGUUGGAAAGUUUCGGCGGUUGGGGAUGGACUCGCGGCUUAUCAGCUUGUUGGUGGGGUAGUGGCUUACCAAGGCUUUGACGGGUAGCCGGCCUGAGAGGGUGACCGGCCAGAUUGGGAAUGAGAUACGGCCCAGACUCCUACGGGAGGCAGCAGUGGGGAAGAUUGCACAAUGGGCGGAAGCCUGAUGCAGCAACGCCGCGUGCGGGAUGACGGCCUUCGGGUUGUAAACCGCUUUCGCCUGUGACGAAGCGUGAGUGACGGUAAUGGGUAAAGAAGCACCGGCUAACUACGUG
Molecule: ribosomal RNA, 468 nt
Filed under: uncultured bacterium
Lineage: Bacteria
Description: partial 16S ribosomal RNA
Rfam family: Bacterial small subunit ribosomal RNA
Source: RNAcentral